GAUGAACGCUGGCGGCGUGCCUAAUACAUGCAAGUCGAGCGAACAGACGAGGAGCUUGUUCCUCUGACGUUAGCGGCGGACGGGUGAGUAAAACGUGGAUAACCUACCUAUAAGACUGGGAUAACUUCGGGAAACCGGAGCUAAUACCGGAUAAUAUAUUGAACCGCAUGGUUCAAUAGUGAAAGACGGUUUUGCUGUCACUUAUAGAUGGAUCCGCGCCGCAUUAGCUAGUUGGUAAGGUAACAGCUUACCAAGGCAACGAUGCGUAGCCGACCUGAGAGGGUGAUCGGCCACACUGGAACUGAGACACGGUCCAGACUCCUACGGGAGGCAGCAGUAGGGAAUCUUCCGCAAUGGGCGAAAGCCUGACGGAGCAACGCCGCGUGAGUGAUGAAGGUCUUCGGAUCGUAAAACUCUGUUAUUAGGGAAGAACAAAUGUGUAAGUAACUAUGCACGUCUUGACGGUACCUAAUCAGAAAGCCACGGCUAACUACGUG
RNAcentral lists this ribosomal RNA (497 nucleotides) under uncultured bacterium. RNAcentral's name for it is "partial 16S ribosomal RNA". It matches the Rfam family "Bacterial small subunit ribosomal RNA", at positions 28 to 507 of the family's 1533-position model. The record is from RNAcentral.